Molecule: small nuclear RNA, 107 nt
Organism: Bombus pascuorum
Lineage: Eukaryota; Metazoa; Arthropoda; Insecta; Hymenoptera; Apidae
Source: RefSeq, a predicted model, not a curated record
UUGUAGUAUGAAAGGAGAGACGUUUAGCACACCCCUAGCUAAGGAUGGAGCGCAUAUAUAAAUAAUAAAACACUAUCAUCUUUCGACGGCACUUACCAGAUUUUUUU